Molecule: unclassified non-coding RNA, 371 nt
Filed under: soil metagenome
Description: partial contains 5.8S ribosomal RNA, internal transcribed spacer 2, and large subunit ribosomal RNA
Rfam family: 5.8S ribosomal RNA (bases 1-120)
Source: RNAcentral
GAUGAAGAACGUAGCGAAAUGCGAUAAGUAGUGUGAAUUGCAGAAUUCAGUGAAUCAUCGAAUCUUUGAACGCACAUUGCGCCCCCUGGAAUUCCGGGGGGCAUGCCUGUUCGAGCGUCUCAGGGACGAACCCUCGCGCGGGUGUACGCGCGGUCGUGGCUGCGGUGGCGUGCCCGAGGCGGCGGCCACCGCGCUGGAAUCCAUGGGCGGACGCCUGCCGCGUGGCCGAGCGUGAUAUGACGCAUUGGCGCUCGCACGCGGCGAGGCUGCCAGCCCUGGCUCGUCUGUCGGGCGGGGGAGAGCAAGACACGUGAACUCCUCGAAUCAGGUAGGGAUACCCGCUGAACUUAAGCAUAUCAAUAAGCGGAGGA